Molecule: long non-coding RNA, 3054 nt
Organism: Cynoglossus semilaevis (tongue sole)
Lineage: Eukaryota; Metazoa; Chordata; Actinopteri; Pleuronectiformes; Cynoglossidae
Exons: 2
Source: RefSeq, a predicted model, not a curated record
UUUUUUUUAUGAUUUAUUUAUAUCCUGGAAUGUGCGGGAAAACAGAAUGUGUUAACUGUUCUCGGAAAUACGAGUUUUCUAAUCUCCGUGGUUAAAAUGUGAAAGCCUUCGACAUUCCAAAAAUAACGGCGUCUCAUACCGCCUCUGUCUCACAACAUGUGUCUGAAAAGUCCCCCAAUGUCCAUGACCAAUGCUGCGAUUUGUCUCCAAAAUAUCCUCAUGGAAACCGAUUUGAAACUGGAACCAUUAUUGGGAUUGUUUUGUGGUGUAGAAACGUCUGGCAGGUGUCUGAUCUCUGGGUCAGAUGACUUCACAGCUCUGGUCUUUUCACAUGGCUCUGUGGACCAAGGGAUGGAGCCGCACAGAUACUGAAGGUCACCGCAAUGCAACAAAUGAAAAACAUCCUGAACCCAGAAAAGUGACUCUGAGUAGGUUAAGGGUUCAAACAUGGAAGUAAACGUUUAAAGCCAGAACUUCGUUCCCGAAACGUUAACUCAAACAUGAACUGUAGUUGUCAGAUUGAUUUAUGGAUAAAUGAGCAGCAGGUGCCUUCUUCUGAGGGUGGCUGACAUCAUCAUCAUCACUGAUUUCCAGGGAAGGUCAGAAAAAGGCAAUGUGAAAAAUUCUGAAAAUUCCAUUGAGACUCAUGGGGCGCCACCAGCAGGACAACUAAAAUGGCUUCGCUUUGUAGAAAGCACCCAGGAAAUGGAACAUGUGUGGAUGAUAGGAUGUGUUGGGUCAAUGGAAUAAAUCAGUAUCAUCUGUCCCUGGAGUAUGUUUUUGGGAAAUGGAGAAAUGGUUGGAAAGGCGUUCCCUGCAGCUGUGUCUGUGGAUGCGGAGCAGAGCACCCAAGAGCAACAGAUACGUGCAAUGGUGUUGCAUAGGCUGCUUUAGAUUCGCCUUUUUAUGUGGGAGCAGCUGCCUCUCAGCCUACCAGUCUGGCAAAACUAAUCCCGUUGAACUCCGGAGAAACGUUUCGUCAAGUAGCACAACACCUGACAUUGGUUUCCCCCCUAGUUCUCAAGUGAAAUGGAAGCUUUUAUCUGUCAUUUGCCUUCAACUUUAGGAAGGAAGGAAAUCACUUACAGAGACCAGAGCUUGGCCCGACUGACGCCGCAGUUAUAUAACUGCACAUACUUCACUGCUCUUGAAGUAUUUCUACUCUCUUCAGUUUUUGUUUCUUUUGCUCUGUAACGUCGUUGACAUCUGUAUUUUUUUGUUUUAUUUUAUUCUAGGUGACGCACGGUGGAAAGUGUCAAAUGUGCAUGCCUUAAUUCAAGAAGCUCAUUACUUUAACCCCCAUCUUUCGGAAUGCACUUUGCUAACACGUCAUCAUUAGUUCGUGGUCGACCCUUAAAAUGUGUGAAGGGUUCACUCAGCUUUGGAAGAACCACUGAAGAGCAGGUAUGAUGUGAAGUUAUCUUCAUGUGGUUGCAUCAGUUCUAAGGGCCACAGGCAGCAGGGUGGGAUGCUGGUUAGAAACCACUGCCAUUCAUUUCUAACCACGAUCUGGGUAUACAUUUUCCUAAAUCACUGAGGGAAUCAUUGUUUCCUACUAUGUGUUUCUGCUGGCUGACUCGGGCUGCAGGAGCUGUGCUAAUCGCAAGCAUAAGGAGGUGAAAUAUGAUGGGAAUCUGCCACAGCCUAUGCCAGUUGGUCAGCUGCUGCAGUUUUGCACCUGCUGCAAAUGACGUUAGAGACCAGGCUUAAAAAAACAAGAAACAAAAAACAAUGACAAGUAUCUUCAUAGAAACCUCCCUGAAAUCACAGAGUGAGAAGCCAAAAGAAUGUUUCUAUUAAUUAUUCUCAUUUCUUUCUUUAACAUGUUGCAGUGGUAUCAAAUGUGAAUCAUGUUUGAAACCAAACAAACACAAGUGACUUGACUGAAGUUGACAAAAUUAGAUAACGUAAUCAGAGAAAGAACAGAGGACUUCUCACUGAUAGGGGGUGAAACUCUAACAAGUCCAUCUGUCUCUGUCUGAACUUCAGCAGAGGGUCAACAGAGGAUGGAUAUUUUUAGGUCUGGUCAUUAACUUGGGACAACACCCUGGGACUGUUUGGACCAUAAGUCUUUACAGAGCUCCUCCAUUUGGCCAAAGUCUGUGGUGUUAAGCAGCUCUGUGUUACUCCUCUAGUAUGUGUCCUCUGACUGGACUUGUCCCAAACACAGAUUUGCUCUGUAGUGGAUUGACUCUGACAGUCCCGCCUCAGCUGGUGGACAUCCACUCUGUCAUUCUAUUGUGGAACCACAAGUUUACUUGGGAAUUUAUGUUUUCCCCCAACUGCUGUCCAGGCCCAAAGACAGCAAGGCAGUGAGGCAGCCCCAGAUCAUGAUGAUCCCUCUGCAGAGAAACACUGCUUUAGCCCCACAUGUAGAACUCCAUGUUCUUAGCAAACAAUUCAACCUUUGUUUCAUCCAUCACGAGCACUUUCCCAGUGGUGUUGUGGCAUGUCAAGCUGCUAUUUAGCAAAUGUAAGGCGAGCAUUUUUUUUGGAGAGCGGCUGACAGCGAACACCAUUCUGUCCAAAUGAUAAUGAUGAGUCAAAGAAGUUACAAAGAUUUGUUGUUUUUUUCUGCUGAUUGUGACAUGUGAGAGGGCAGCCAAAACAGAACAAUCUGUCUUUGUAUGUAAGGUUUGGUAAGGAGGAAAAAAAAAAAAGUCAGCGUCACAAAUUGGGGGCAGCAACACAGGCAGCAAAAGACAUUCAAGUAUGUUGUUUUAUUUGCAAUAAAAAUUAGUGUCACCACAGAACUUGGUACAAAGAUACAGUAACAGGUAAAAGUUUGUUAAAUAGUUUUCCUUUUUUAGUGGAAUUUAUGUUUUUAUAUUAACUGAUAAGAGGACAAUGUCUGAGGACAAUGUCUGAGGACAACAUCCUGCAGUAUUUAUUUACUACCUUUUAAGAAAGCCCAUAACACAGUUUUUUUUCUGCACAGGUAACGACCCUUUAAAAUGACCACUUUAGAACACGAUACAUGUAGACGGUUAGAAAAGUGUAACACAUGUAACAGUACACACAGAGCCCAGAAAAAUAAAUGUGUAUAUACAGAAA